RNAcentral lists this ribosomal RNA (254 nucleotides) under uncultured bacterium. Its description in RNAcentral is "partial 16S ribosomal RNA". It matches the Rfam family "Bacterial small subunit ribosomal RNA", at positions 524 to 776 of the family's 1533-position model. The record is from RNAcentral.
UACGUGGGGAGCAAGCGUUGUUCGGAUUUACUGGGCGUAAAGGGCGCGUAGGCGGUCAGCACAAGUCAGUUGUGAAAUCUCCGGGCUUAACUCGGAAAGGUCAACUGAUACUGUGCGACUAGAGUGCGGAAGGGGCAACUGGAAUUCUCGGUGUAGCGGUGAAAUGCGUAGAUAUCGAGAGGAACACCUGCGGCGAAGGCGGGUCUCUGGACAGUUCCUGACGCUGAGGCACGAAGGCCAGGGGAGCAAACGGG